RNAcentral lists this ribosomal RNA (544 nucleotides) under Klebsiella variicola. RNAcentral's name for it is "bacterial SSU rRNA". It matches the Rfam family "Bacterial small subunit ribosomal RNA", at positions 1 to 536 of the family's 1533-position model. The record is from RNAcentral. Lineage: Bacteria; Pseudomonadati; Pseudomonadota; Gammaproteobacteria; Enterobacterales; Enterobacteriaceae.
AAAUUGAAGAGUUUGAUCAUGGCUCAGAUUGAACGCUGGCGGCAGGCCUAACACAUGCAAGUCGAGCGGUAGCACAGAGAGCUUGCUCUCGGGUGACGAGCGGCGGACGGGUGAGUAAUGUCUGGGAAACUGCCUGAUGGAGGGGGAUAACUACUGGAAACGGUAGCUAAUACCGCAUAACGUCGCAAGACCAAAGUGGGGGACCUUCGGGCCUCAUGCCAUCAGAUGUGCCCAGAUGGGAUUAGCUGGUAGGUGGGGUAACGGCUCACCUAGGCGACGAUCCCUAGCUGGUCUGAGAGGAUGACCAGCCACACUGGAACUGAGACACGGUCCAGACUCCUACGGGAGGCAGCAGUGGGGAAUAUUGCACAAUGGGCGCAAGCCUGAUGCAGCCAUGCCGCGUGUGUGAAGAAGGCCUUCGGGUUGUAAAGCACUUUCAGCGGGGAGGAAGGCGAUAAGGUUAAUAACCUUGUCGAUUGACGUUACCCGCAGAAGAAGCACCGGCUAACUCCGUGCCAGCAGCCGCGGUAAUACGGAGGGUGCA